UACGUAGGUGGCAAGCGUUGUCCGGAUUUACUGGGCGUAAAGAGCGCGCAGGCGGUCGGAUAAGUCGAAUGUGAAAGCCCCCGGCUCAACUGGGGAGGGUCAUUCGAUACUGUUCGACUCGAGGGCAGGAGAGGGAAGUGGAAUUCCCGGUGUAGUGGUGAAAUGCGUAGAUAUCGGGAGGAACACCAGUGGCGAAGGCGACUUCCUGGCCUGUUCUUGACGCUGAGGCGCGAAAGCUAGGGGAGCAAACGGG
RNAcentral lists this ribosomal RNA (253 nucleotides) under uncultured bacterium. Its description in RNAcentral is "partial 16S ribosomal RNA". It matches the Rfam family "Bacterial small subunit ribosomal RNA", at positions 524 to 776 of the family's 1533-position model. The record is from RNAcentral.